This 3325-nucleotide long non-coding RNA is filed under the name Sarcophilus harrisii (Tasmanian devil). RNAcentral describes it as "lncRNA (ENSSHAG00000027139.1)". The record is from RNAcentral. Lineage: Eukaryota; Metazoa; Chordata; Mammalia; Dasyuromorphia; Dasyuridae.
UUAUUCAUAGUUUAAAUGAAGAACCUUAUUACAUUUGGAGAGAAGGAGAAGAAAUAGCAUACUUAUUUUAAAGACUGACCAAUGAAAAAAUGAUUCCUUGAGCUAUAGUUUUUGUGUGAAACUAAUUUAUAAGUACUUUUUUCCAUGCAUUUAUUCAUGGAAUGAACUGUCCCUUUGUCUCUUCCCCAUACUAUCUAGUUUGCUCUGUAUUCUUGAGAGUUUUAGGAUAGAGCUGUAGGAUAAAUUACAUAUUGUUGGCUUAUAUAAUCCAAUAAUAAAAUAACAUUACACAGUGAGAUUUUUGGUGCCAGGGCUUGGUAAACUUUUGUGGUGUAGAGUAUUAAACUCCCAGAAUAGAUAUUUAUAGUAUAAUUACCAUCAAAUCCCAAGAAAAUGAUACUGUAUUUCAAUAUAAUUGAAUAAUUCAAUAUAAUUGAUAGUCUUUUUUAAUGACAAAUUUUAGCCUUUCCCAGGGAAAGAACAGAUUUUAAAAGCUUUUAAUGAAUAAAAAGAACUGCAUAUUGUUAUCAUUCUGACAAAGUAGUUUAAUUCCCCUCUUCCUUUCCUCUUCAUAAUAAAUUGUGGAACUUUAAAGAAAUGAGAUUUGGGGGGGGCAUAAGGUGGUUAUAUUUUGUUCUUUUUAAAACUGAUUAAUAAUUUGAUAUUAAUCUUUGUCAAAUCUAGGUAAGGUUUGAAAGUCACAUUCACCUUGAUAACUUGUGUUUGAGGUUGCCAAAAAUUGUCUUCUAUAAAUGAAAACACAAGAUAAAAUUAUUCUCAUAUAAAAGUUAGUGUAUACUCUAGUACACAUGGUUCUAAAGGUGAAACUUCAGCAUCAAAUGCAUAUUUAGUUAAUUUGAGGAAAAUAUACCUGAGUUCUUUGUGACCUCUAGAAAAUUUUUCCUCCCAAAGUAGUAUCAACUUAAAUUGAAACAGGAUCACUAAUAACCCCUCUGCAGACCUACCCUUUUGACUUAGAAAAUCAUAUAAAAACAUCUAUAUUCUAUUAUAUUUUUAUUUAUUUUGUUAAAUAUUUGCCAAUUUCAGUUUUAAUCUGGUUCAGCAUCUGGGGGGUUAUGUGUUUCACACUUCUGAUCCAAAAUCUAAAAAGUUUUAGGGCAUUAGGUUGCUAUUUAGGGAAUUGCUAUUAUUGUUAUCAGAUGUUAUUCUCAUCAGAUAAUGUUUUCUACUUUCACUGCCUCUCAAGAUAAAUUAAAAUCCUUACAGAAGUCUCUCACCAGGACCUGAGGCUUUCUCAGAUUCCAAGGCAGUAGUUAAUCUCAGGCACUGUGGUUUUUCUCUUUCAAAUCUGGACCACAGUUCACCAACAUCUGUGCCAUAGGGUAACAUUAGGGAGGUAAUUAGCCCCUGUAUCCCCUGUUAAAUAGUUUAUUCUUUUAGAAAAGGUUAAGUAUUAAUUUCUUUGAAGCCAUUUGUAUUCAUUCUGUCUGGAAUUGGGCAUGGAAUAAAUUUUCUAAGUGGCACAAUACCAGUGUCCAUGACUGCAUUGGGAGUAAGGAGAUUAUGACCUUAAGCUAGAACUCUUCCCCUCUGUUCUUUUUAGUUUCCUCAUCUGUUAAAGAAGAGGAUUAGAUUUGUUAACUAAUCUUUCCAAAUUAAGCUCUUGUGUUACUAUGCGUAUGUGGUAGCAUAUCCAGUAGUGCUAUUAUUGCAGAAUAGAAAAUGGAAUCAUAUACUUUGUAGUAAGCAAAUUUCAGGCAGAUGUUAGUAAUCUAUCAUUUCCCGUGAAAGUGAUCUCUUCUGAAAUAAUUUUUUUUUCACUUUUACAGAAGGCCAAGAUCCACAUUUAAGCUUAGAUCAAGACUUACCCUAAAUCUUACAUGUCUAAUGAAAGCAGACAAGUGGACCUAUGGAAAAUAUAUUCCUUUACCUUUGUGUUUUAGAGAAGAGUAACUGAAAAAAAAGUCAUUGUCCAGGAGAAAAGAUAAUGAAAUAUACCUCUCUCCAGACUUGUGCCUUAGGAAACAGCUUUGUGAAUAGCUUAUAGUGUGUCAAGAGUGUUAGGUAGUCCAGAGAUGAGAAAAGGAGAGAAGAAGAAAAUUGUUAAAUGUGCCUUGGGGCAGUAUAAAAUUUGAAACUAAGAAAAAAUUGAAAGAAUACAAUUUUUUUCUUUCCCUGGAUUAAUCAAAUGUCUUAUUUAUCAGCCAAACUGAGAAAUUCUUUUUAAAUACGUGAGCAAAGUCAUAAUGCCUCCUUCCUGCUCAACCUUCUUACUACAUCUCAACCAAACUUUCCAAUUCACAAGGCCAUAGGGCAAUAAUGCACAGAAAUGCUAUUUCUCUCUUUCUGAAUAGCAAAUAAGGAAGUAGGGGUGUUUCUAGUAAAUUGUUUUUUGAAUUUUUUAUUUUCUGAUUUUUUUCUGAAUUCUUUAUUCCUAAUUUUAUUGUCAUCUUUAUCUGAUCUCUUUUCCCCCUAAUAUUAUUAUAUACAUUUACAUAUUUGAUGUGCAGUACACAUCAUUUCCCCCCUUAAUCUUGCUUUCUUGAGAUUUUACAAACAUGUUGAUCUUUUUCCUCUGUGUAGCCAAUCCUUUUUCAUUCCCUUUAAUAAGAUACGUGUGUCAGUAAAAGGAAAAUUUUAAAAGUCUUUUAUUUUCCCAUUAGAAAAACUGUUUCUGCUAAGGAUGUUUUUGAGGACUGAACUGAUACUUCCAAACUUGUGCCCAAAGUUUGGAUCCCAUAACUUAUAAAACAGGAUUCCAUUCUCCAGGGAAAUUAGAGGAACAAGCCUCUGAAUCUUAUUGGUACUGUCUUUUCACAAGGCUGAUUGCUAGUGGCUGUGUCAUGAUGUUGAGAGUGUUUAUACAGAUUAAGAAAUACCAGCAUGCCCUUUUACACUUUUUUUCCCUCCCAACUGAAAAUAAUGCAUCCUCUUAACUUCAUUAAAUAUAGUCCUGGGGAAUUAAAUUAUAUUAAUGCUAUAAAUUGAUAACUGACAUCAUAGAUUGAUAAAGUAGGUUAUGUGCUAAAAUCUGAAAGUCACACUACAAUGUCGCUUUAUGUGAUGACACAAAGUGGAUUGUAUUUUCUUUACUCCAAGAAAUUACCUGCUGUGCUUCCUUCAGUUUUUAGUGCCCACAGGGGGAAAAAAAGCUUCCUUUUUGCUGGAGUUAAAAUAUUGCUUAAACAAAAAUCUACUUAGUCUGAAAUAUUUUUUAUUGACGUAACCUCACAUUGCUAUGUAGUAAAUUAGAUUAAAUCAAUUAAAUCAUUUUGCAUGACUAGCAGUAGAAAAGUGCUUCACUGUGUGGCCACUCUGUUAAUAACUUAACAAUUUUUUGAAGGGAUUGUUUGAUAUUUGUUGG